Molecule: ribosomal RNA, 541 nt
Filed under: uncultured bacterium
Lineage: Bacteria
Description: bacterial SSU rRNA
Rfam family: Bacterial small subunit ribosomal RNA
Source: RNAcentral
GAGGAAUAUUGCGCAAUGGGCGAAAGCCUGACGCAGCCAUCCCGCGUGCAGGAUUGACGGCCCUAAGGGUUGUAAACUGCUUUUCUGCAAGAAGAAAGAUGUCUACGUGUAGAUGUUUGCCGGUAUUGCGGGAAAAAGCAUCGGCUAACUCCGUGCCAGCAGCCGCGGUAAUACGGAGGAUGCGAGCGUUAUCCGGAAUCACUGGGUUUAAAGGGUGCGCAGGCUGAAUAGUAAGUCAGAGGUGAAAAUCCAUAGCUUAACUGUGGACUUGCCUUUGAUACUGUUAUUCUUGAGUGCAGUUGAAGUGGGCGGAAUAUAACAUGUAGCGGUGAAACGCAUAGAUAUGCUAUAGAACACCGAUUGCGAAGGCAGCUCGCUAAGCUGUAACUGACGCUGAGGCACGAAAGCUUGGAUAGCAAACAGGAUUAGAUACCCUGGUAGUCCAGGCUGUAAACGAUGAACAUUCGCUGUUGGCAAUAUAUCGUCAGCGGCUGAGCGAAAGCGUUAAGUGUUCCACCUGGGAAGUACGAUCGCAAGGUUG